GUGUGUUCUCCCGUCGUUGCCUCCCUAAGAUAUGAUCUCCUUUCGUCAGGACAAGAUCUGCUCCAGGGCACUGCUCUAGCCCUGGAGAAGAGGCAGACGACCAUUCUGGAAGUCAGUCGAGGUAUCAGAACCAGAAUUUUUCCAUCAGUAAAGAACUGAAGAAGCCUCUGGGAACGAAGGGGAGAAAAGUCUUCAACUGUGUCGGAUCAAAUGACGAGGAUGACUGAGAACCUACAGAGACGAAAAGUGGUAAAUGUUCAACUUUAUUUUAAUGUCAUUACAGGUUAGGAGCAGUCGUAGUUCUCACUGGUUGUCACAUAAAACUGUGUUUUUUUUAAACAUGUCACAAUAGAAACAAAACUCUUUAUACAACGUUCAGUAUUACAUGUAAGAGUCCGUGUGAAGUAGAAUAAAUACACAGAGUAAAAAAAAACAACGACAGUAUGAGGUUCAGCCCAAGGUGACACUGUUCACUUUUUUUGACAUAAAGUUUGAAGUUGGGACCCUAUAUAAUUAUAUUACCUCAAACACAGACAAUCAGUUCACACAUUUUUCCAAGGGUGGAGGAGAUUCUUCUGUCUCCACGGAAUUUUCAGAAACACUUUUACAACUUCAUAACGUUUCAUGUCAAAUCUCACUGUGGAACGGCUGCAAGUCACUGGAGAAAUCCCUGACUCAUCUGCAG
Molecule: long non-coding RNA, 685 nt
Organism: Cynoglossus semilaevis (tongue sole)
Lineage: Eukaryota; Metazoa; Chordata; Actinopteri; Pleuronectiformes; Cynoglossidae
Exons: 2
Source: RefSeq, a predicted model, not a curated record